This 70-nucleotide transfer RNA is filed under the name Loxodonta africana (African savanna elephant). It matches the Rfam family "tRNA". From Rfam's summary of the family: Transfer RNA (tRNA) molecules are approximately 80 nucleotides in length. Their secondary structure includes four short double-helical elements and three loops (D, anti-codon, and T loops). Further hydrogen bonds mediate the characteristic L-shaped molecular structure. tRNAs have two regions of fundamental functional importance: the anti-codon, which is responsible for specific mRNA codon recognition, and the 3' end, to which the tRNAs corresponding amino acid is attached (by aminoacyl-tRNA synthetases). tRNAs cope with the degeneracy of the genetic code in two manners: having more than one tRNA (with a specific anti-codon) for a particular amino acid; and 'wobble' base-pairing, i.e. permitting non-standard base-pairing at the 3rd anti-codon position. Lineage: Eukaryota; Metazoa; Chordata; Mammalia; Proboscidea; Elephantidae. The record is from Rfam by way of RNAcentral.
UCUGUGGUGCAAAGAGUUAACUCAUUUGACUGCUAACCAAAAGGUUGGAGGUUCGAGCCUACCCACAGAU